UAAGGAAUAUUGGACAAUGGAGGCAACUCUGAUCCAGCCAUGCCGCGUGAAGGAAUAAGGCCCUAUGGGUUGUAAACUUCUUUUAGACGGGACAAAACCCCUUUACGUGUAAAGGGUUGAUGGUACUGUCAGAAUAAACAUCGGCUAACUUCGUGCCAGCAGCCGCGGUAAUACGAAGGAUGCAAGCGUUAUCCGGAAUUAUUGGGUUUAAAGGGUGCGUAGGCGGACUAAUAAGUCAGUGGUGAAAGCCUGCAGCUUAACUGCAGAAUUGCCAUUGNGACUGUUAGUCUUGAGUACAGUUGAGGUAGGCGGAAUGUGUCAUGUAGCGGUGAAAUGCUUAGAUAUGACACAGAACACCGAUUGCGAAGGCAGCUUGCUAAGCUGUAACUGUCGCUGAGGCACGAAAGCGUGGGGAGCAAACA
RNAcentral lists this ribosomal RNA (422 nucleotides) under uncultured bacterium. RNAcentral describes it as "bacterial SSU rRNA". It matches the Rfam family "Bacterial small subunit ribosomal RNA", at positions 355 to 774 of the family's 1533-position model. The record is from RNAcentral.